This 1866-nucleotide ribosomal RNA is filed under the name Campylobacter jejuni. RNAcentral's name for it is "partial 23S ribosomal RNA". It matches the Rfam family "Bacterial large subunit ribosomal RNA", at positions 1 to 1871 of the family's 2925-position model. The record is from RNAcentral. Lineage: Bacteria; Pseudomonadati; Campylobacterota; Epsilonproteobacteria; Campylobacterales; Campylobacteraceae.
AGGUAAGCUACUAAGAGCGAAUGGUGGAUGCCUUGACUGGUAAAGGCGAUGAAGGACGUACUAGACUGCGAUAAGCUACGGGGAGCUGUCAAGAAGUUUUGAUCCGUAGAUUUCCGAAUGGGGCAACCCAAUGUAUAGAGAUAUACAUUACCUAUAUAGGAGCGAACGAGGGGAAUUGAAACAUCUUAGUACCCUCAGGAAAAGAAAUCAAUAGAGAUUGCGUCAGUAGCGGCGAGCGAAAGCGCAAGAGGGCAAACCCAGUGCUUGCACUGGGGGUUGUAGGACUGCAAUGUGCAAGAGGUAAGUUUAGCAGAACAUUCUGGAAAGUAUAACCAUAGAGGGUGAUAGUCCCGUAUGCGAAAAACAAACCUUAGCUAGCAGUAUCCUGAGUAGGGCGGGACACGAGGAAUCCUGUCUGAAUCCGGGUCGACCACGAUCCAACCCUAAAUACUAAUACCAGAUCGAUAGUGCACAAGUACCGUGAGGGAAAGGUGAAAAGAACUGAGGUGAUCAGAGUGAAAUAGAACCUGAAACCAUUUGCUUACAAUCAUUCAGAGCCCUAUGUAGCAAUACAGGGUGAUGGACUGCCUUUUGCAUAAUGAGCCUGCGAGUUGUGGUGUCUGGCAAGGUUAAGCAAACGCGAAGCCGUAGCGAAAGCGAGUCUGAAUAGGGCGCUUAGUCAGAUGCUGCAGACCCGAAACGAAGUGAUCUAUCCAUGAGCAAGUUGAAGCUAGUGUAAGAACUAGUGGAGGACUGAACCCAUAGGCGUUGAAAAGCCCCGGGAUGACUUGUGGAUAGGGGUGAAAGGCCAAUCAAACUUCGUGAUAGCUGGUUCUCUCCGAAAUAUAUUUAGGUAUAGCGUUGUGUCGUAAUAUAAGGGGGUAGAGCACUGAAUGGGCUAGGGCAUACACCAAUGUACCAAACCCUAUCAAACUCCGAAUACCUUAUAUGUAAUCACAGCAGUCAGGCGGCGAGUGAUAAAAUCCGUCGUCAAGAGGGAAACAACCCAGACUACCAGCUAAGGUCCCUAAAUCUUACUUAAGUGGAAAACGAUGUGAAGUUACUUAAACAACCAGGAGGUUGGCUUAGAAGCAGCCAUCCUUUAAAGAAAGCGUAAUAGCUCACUGGUCUAGUGAUUUUGCGCGGAAAAUAUAACGGGGCUAAAGUAAGUACCGAAGCUGUAGACUUAGUUUACUAAGUGGUAGGAGAGCGUUCUAUUUGCGCCGAAGGUAUACCGGUAAGGAGUGCUGGAGCGAAUAGAAGUGAGCAUGUAGGCAUGAGUAGCGAUAAUUAAUGUGAGAAUCAUUAACGCCGUAAACCCAAGGUUUCCUACGCGAUGCUCGUCAUCGUAGGGUUAGUCGGGUCCUAAGUCGAGUCCGAAAGGGGUAGACGAUGGCAAAUUGGUUAAUAUUCCAAUACCAACAUUAGUGUGCGAUGGAAGGACGCUUAGGGCUAAGGGGGCUAGCGGAUGGAAGUGCUAGUCUAAGGUCGUAGGAGGUUAUACAGGCAAAUCCGUAUAACAAUACUCCGAGAACUGAAAGGCUUUUUGAAGUCUUCGGAUGGAUAGAAGAACCCCUGAUGCCGUCGAGCCAAGAAAAGUUUCUAAGUUUAGCUAAUGUUGCCCGUACCGUAAACCGACACAGGUGGGUGGGAUGAGUAUUCUAAGGCGCGUGGAAGAACUCUCUUUAAGGAACUCUGCAAAAUAGCACCGUAUCUUCGGUAUAAGGUGUGGUUAGCUUUGUAUUAGGAUUUACUCCGAAAGCAAGGAAACUUACAACAAAGAGUCCCUCCCGACUGUUUACCAAAAACACAGCACUCUGCUAACUCGUAAGAGGAUGUAUAGGGUGUGACGCCUGCCCGGUGCUC